AGCUCCCAUGGCGCCUGUUUAUCAAAAACAUGGUUUUUUGGAGUAAUAAAAAAUCUAACCUGCUCCAUGCUUAUGUUAAUAGCCGCAGUAUUAUGACUGUGCUAAGGUAGCAUAAUCAUUUGUCUUUUAAAUAAAGUCUAGAAUGAAAGGUUGGCCGAAGAAGAAGCUCUCUUUUUAUUAAAAAAUGAAUUUAAUUAUUUAGUAAAAAGGCUAAUAUUAAUCUGAGGGACGAUAAGACCCUAUAAACUUAAUUUUAAAAAUUUUACUGGGGUGGUGAGAUAAGAGUAGAAUCUUAUUUAAAUGGAUUUUUAUUUAUAGACCCAAUAUUAUUGAGGGGUAGAAAAAGUUACUAUAGGGAUAACAGCUUAAUUUUUUUUUGAAGUUCUUAUUUUAGGAAAAGUUUGAGACCUCGAUGUUGAAUUAAAGUAUCUUUUUAGUGUAGAAGCUAAAAUUAAGAAAGUCUGUUCGACUUUUAAAUCUUUACGUGAUCUGAGUUCAGACCGGCCAUGGGAGCU
Molecule: ribosomal RNA, 515 nt
Filed under: Vinathela sp. XUX-2013-519
Lineage: Eukaryota; Metazoa; Arthropoda; Arachnida; Araneae; Liphistiidae
Description: partial 16S ribosomal RNA
Rfam family: Bacterial large subunit ribosomal RNA
Source: RNAcentral